This 450-nucleotide ribosomal RNA is filed under the name uncultured bacterium. RNAcentral describes it as "partial 16S ribosomal RNA". It matches the Rfam family "Bacterial small subunit ribosomal RNA", at positions 354 to 796 of the family's 1533-position model. The record is from RNAcentral.
GUGGGGAAUCUUCCACAAUGGACGAAAGUCUGAUGGAGCAACGCCGCGUGAGUGAAGAAGGGUUUCGGCUCGUAAAGCUCUGUUGUCGGGGACGAAUGUGCAGUAUUUGAAUAAAGUACUGUAAUGACGGUACCUGACGAGGAAGCCACGGCUAACUACGUGCCAGCAGCCGCGGUAAUACGUAGGUGGCAAGCGUUGUCCGGAAUUAUUGGGCGUAAAGGGAGCGCAGGCGGGAAGGUAAGUCGGUCUUAAAAGUGCGGGGCUCAACCCCGUGAUGGGAUCGAAACUAUCUUUCUUGAGUGCAGGAGAGGAAAGUGGAAUUCCUAGUGUAGCGGUGAAAUGCGUAGAUAUUAGGAGGAACACCAGUGGCGAAGGCGACUUUCUGGACGGUGUCUGACACUGAGGCGCGAAAGCUAGGGGAGCGAACGGGAUUAGAUACCCUAGUAGUCC